Caenorhabditis elegans is the source of this 300-nucleotide non-coding RNA. NCBI's taxonomy places the organism in Eukaryota, Metazoa, Nematoda, Chromadorea, Rhabditida, Rhabditidae. The record is from Ensembl.
GAAAGAUUUGAAAUAGAAUUUUGGAUAUCUGAGAGUUGCGGAGCAACCAUGUGGAAAUAUUGGUGUGAAAUUGAACACCCUUAUGUUACACUUUUUGUGCUUUUUGGUUUUUUUUGCGUAUAGAGGAUUUAAAAUCCAGUGUUAUCUUUCAGUAAGCGAAUUUAUGUCAUCUCAAAAACUAUUUCAUUUCAAAAGUCUAAAAAUAUAAAGUCUAAGGCCUAGCCCUAUGCUUAAGCCCACACUUAAUAUUGAGCCUAAGCAUAGGCCUGAGAUUUGGACUUUGUUUUCAUAGACCUUGAA